RNAcentral lists this ribosomal RNA (253 nucleotides) under uncultured bacterium. RNAcentral's name for it is "partial 16S ribosomal RNA". It matches the Rfam family "Bacterial small subunit ribosomal RNA", at positions 524 to 776 of the family's 1533-position model. The record is from RNAcentral.
UACGGGGGGGGCAAGCGUUGUUCGGAAUUACUGGGCGUAAAGGGCGCGUAGGCGGCCUUCUAAGUCGGACGUGAAAUCCCUCGGCUCAACCGAGGAACUGCGUCUGAUACUGGAAGGCUUGAAUCCGGGAGAGGAAUGUGGAAUUCCAGGUGUAGCGGUGAAAUGCGUAGAUAUCUGGAGGAACACCGGUGGCGAAGGCGGCAUUCUGGACUGCAACUGACACUGAAAGACGAAAGCCAGGGGAGCAAACGGG